UAAAACAUGAACGGAAGACUGGUUUAUUUGGUCGCUGAGGAAGAGAUCAGUCUUACCAGAGGACCCUUAGGGCUGGGCUUCAAUAUCGUAGGUGGGACAGAUCAGCAGUAUGUCUCCAACGACAGUGGCAUCUACGUCAGCCGCAUCAAAGAAAAUGGGGCUGCGGCCCUGGAUGGGCGGCUCCAGGAGCGUGAUAAGAUCCUUUCAGUAAAUGGCCAAGACCUAAAGAACCUGCUGUACCAGAAUGCUGUAGACCUCUUUCGUAAUGCAGGUUAUGCUGUGUCUCUCAAAGUGCAGCAUAGGUUACAGGUGCAGAAUGGACCUAUAGGACAUCGAGGUGAAGGGGACCCAAGUGGUAUUCUCAUAUUUAUGGUGCUGGUGCCAGUGUUUGCCCUCACCAUGGUAGCAGCCUGGGUUUUCAUGAGAUACCGGCAACAACUUUGAAAAACUUGCUCUCUUUCAGUACUCCCAAUGAAGAUACAUUUCACUCACCCUCCAUCCCUGCUAUUCUGCCGUGUCUUUCACUCUCUGCAUAGCCAGAUUUGAAGUGACUGAUACCCACCCCAAACCUUGCUGUUCAGAAUCUCCAAUUCUUCAUAUUCUAAUGGGAAAGUAAAGGUAUUAUUUGAAGGAAAACUGAAGAAAAGACUUGCUUAGAACAAAUGAGUUAUAUAUUUUACUAGGACUUUUGAUAGAAAUUCAGCUACAACCCAAAGAGAGAAAGAUUGAGUCUUCAUGUCACCAUAGGCAAUAUCAUUUUUCUUAGCUGGCAUGCCAUAAAGACCAGCUGUGUGACAUUAGAGGAAGAACGGAUUUUUCUUUUUAAUGAUCUUCCUUGGGAAAUUAUUGUGGCCUUUAUUUAAUUUCUAAUUACAUACCUGGGUGCCUAUAUGAGACAAAGGAGAGUGAGAAGAGCAUUUUUACCUUUUUAAAAAAGCAAAUACAUAUAUACACAUACAUAUGUAAAUAUUAUAGUAUAAUAGUGAUACCUAUGGAGAAUUAAAGGUGAGAAAGCUAAA
This is an RNA transcript of Mandrillus leucophaeus (drill), 1019 nucleotides long. It is a transcript of the gene named synaptojanin-2-binding protein pseudogene, with no coding region annotated. The record is from RefSeq and is a predicted model, not a curated record. The transcript has a single exon. NCBI's taxonomy places the organism in Eukaryota, Metazoa, Chordata, Mammalia, Primates, Cercopithecidae.